RNAcentral lists this ribosomal RNA (1141 nucleotides) under uncultured bacterium. Its description in RNAcentral is "bacterial SSU rRNA". It matches the Rfam family "Bacterial small subunit ribosomal RNA", at positions 194 to 1353 of the family's 1533-position model. The record is from RNAcentral.
GAUAUAUCAAAAGAUUUAUCGCUGAGAGAUGGCCUCGCGUCUGAUUAGCUGGAUUGGUAGGGUAACGGCCUACCCAAGGCGACGAUCCAGUAGCCCGGACUGAGAGGUUGGCCGGCCACAUUGGGAGUGAGAUACGGCCCAGACUCCUACGGGAGGCAGCAGUGGGGAAUAUUGGGCAAUGGGCGCAAGCCUGACCCAGCAACGCCGCGUGAAGGAAGAAGCCUCUCGGGUUGUAAACUUCUUUUAAGAGGGAAGAGCAGAAGACGGUACCUCUUGAAUAAGCUCCGGCUAACUACGUGCCAGCAGCCGCGGUAAUACGUAGGGAGCGAGCGUUGUCCGGAUUUACUGGGUGUAAAGGGCGUGCAGCCGGGAGUACAAGUCAGAUGUGAAAUCCCGCGGCUCAACCGCGGAACUGCAUUUGAAACUGUAUUUCUUGAGUACUGGAGAGGCAGACGGAAUUCCUAGUGUAGCGGUGAAAUGCGUAGAUAUUAGGAGGAACACCAGUGGCGAAGGCGGUCUGCUGGACAGCAACUGACGGUGAGGCGCGAAAGCGUGGGGAGCAAACAGGAUUAGAUACCCUGGUAGUCCACGCUGUAAACGAUGGAUAAUAGGUGUGCGGGGACUGACCCCCUGCGUGCCGCAGUUAACACACUAAGUAUCCCACCUGGGGAGUACGAUCGCAAGUUUGAAACUCAAAGGAAUUGACGGGGGCCUGCACAAGCGGUGGCUUAUGUCGUUUAAUUCGAUGCAACGUGAAGAACCUUACCAGGGCUAGACAUCCUGCUAACGAGGUAGAGAUACGUCAGGUGCCCUUCGGGGAAAGCAGAGACAGGUGGUGCAUGGUUGUCGUCAGCUCGUGUCGUGAGAUGUUGGGUUAAGUCCCGCAACGAGCGCAACCCUUACUGUUAGUUGCUACGCAAGAGCACUCCAGCGACACUGCCGUUGACAAAACGGAGGAAGGUGGGGACGAGGUCAAAUCAUCAUGCCCCUUAUGUCCUGGGCUACACACGUAAUACAAUGGCGGCCAACAGAGGGAUGCAAAGCUGUGAAGUGGAGCGAACCCCUAAAAGCCGUCCCAGUUCAGAUUGCAGUCUGCAACUCGACUGCAUGAAGUCGGAAUCGCUAGUAAUCGCGGAUCAGC